AGUGAACGCUGGCGGUAGACCUAACACAUGCAAGUCGAACGGCAGCACAGUAAGAGCUUGCUCUUACGGGUGGCGAGUGGCGGACGGGUGAGGAAUACAUCGGAAUCUACUUUUUCGUGGGGGAUAACGUAGGGAAACUUACGCUAAUACCGCAUACGACCUACGGGUGAAAGCAGGGGAUCUUCGGACCUUGCGCGAUCGAAUGAGCCGAUGUCGGAUUAGCUAGUUGGCGGGGUAAAGGCCCACCAAGGCGACGAUCCGUAGCUGGUCUGAGAGGAUGAUCAGCCACACUGGAACUGAGACACGGUCCAGACUCCUACGGGAGGCAGCAGUGGGGAAUAUUGGACAAUGGGCGCAAGCCUGAUCCAGCCAUACCGCGUGGGUGAAGAAGGCCUUCGGGUUGUAAAGCCCUUUUGUUGGGAAAGAAAAGCAGCAGGUUAAUACCCCGCUGUUCUGACGGUACCCAAAGAAUAAGCACCGGCUAACUUCGUG
Molecule: ribosomal RNA, 492 nt
Filed under: uncultured bacterium
Lineage: Bacteria
Description: partial 16S ribosomal RNA
Rfam family: Bacterial small subunit ribosomal RNA
Source: RNAcentral